AGCCCCAUAGUCUAGCGGUCAAGGAUAGGGCCCUCUGGAGGCUCUGACGGCGGUUCGAAUCCGCCUGGGGCUA
Molecule: transfer RNA, 73 nt
Filed under: Candidatus Woesearchaeota archaeon
Lineage: Archaea; Nanobdellati; Candidatus Woesearchaeota
Description: tRNA-Gln
Rfam family: tRNA
About the family: Transfer RNA (tRNA) molecules are approximately 80 nucleotides in length.
Source: RNAcentral